AACCAAGGUGAUUCCCUCUCCAGGAUAGGAGCAACGUGGAAUAAAUCUGCAUGCCUCAGGUUUUCAGAGGUGAUACAUAGUUUCCAUUGCCUUUCCUUGGCUGCCUGCAUGU
Pipistrellus kuhlii (Kuhl's pipistrelle) is the source of this 112-nucleotide small nucleolar RNA. RefSeq annotates it as small nucleolar RNA SNORA67. The record is from RefSeq and is a predicted model, not a curated record. Lineage: Eukaryota; Metazoa; Chordata; Mammalia; Chiroptera; Vespertilionidae. The transcript has a single exon.